Molecule: small nucleolar RNA, 128 nt
Organism: Grammomys surdaster
Lineage: Eukaryota; Metazoa; Chordata; Mammalia; Rodentia; Muridae
Product: small nucleolar RNA SNORA17
Exons: 1
Source: RefSeq, a predicted model, not a curated record
ACUGCCUUAUAAAAGCAUUUCAGGUGUUACUUUGUCACAUGUGUGUCAAUAAGUGGCAGAAAAGAGAGACACUUUGUCUCUUCAGUAUUUUGAUCUGUGAACAUCUGCCUGAUAAGUAGCCUACCAUU